Long non-coding RNA from Herpailurus yagouaroundi (jaguarundi), 275 nucleotides. RefSeq lists it as uncharacterized. The transcript is spliced from 3 exons. The record is from RefSeq and is a predicted model, not a curated record. Lineage: Eukaryota; Metazoa; Chordata; Mammalia; Carnivora; Felidae.
AUAAAAUACUGGCAACAAGGAAAUGAACGCAAGCAAGAACAAUCCUGCCUGUGCCGGCUGAGGUGUCCAGAACAGCCCUGUUUUCUGUACUGCCAAUUGUGAUUUUAUGUGACUGUUUACGAAUUGAAAUUUUAUUGAAGAAGACACCUGGAAAGCUGUGUCAUCUGAACUAAGGUCAUUGAAUCCUUGUGAACAGAUGUUAUUUGCAAUGGUGCUGUGGUUUUCAUCUUGAAAAGGCUUCAAAUUUUCUUCAAAGCACAGCCUAGAUUCAUCAU